AUAAAAGUGAGGACAAACAGAUAGGGACGCUCCAUUAUAUAACAAGUCUCAAGUGAUGUUAUUUCUGUGAAAGAAAACGCAUCGGUCCUUUUAGUAUGUCCAUUCUUGGAAGAAGAACAAUCAAUAGUAUGGCGAGGUCCACCUAAUUUGAUGGUAUAUGGAAUUAACAAGACAAUAAAUGGAAAACUAACCAAUAUCAAACACAAAGCAUUCAUAACCAAAAAUGAGAAAAGCCAAAACAUAUUGAAGAUUGAAAUGUUCUCAAAGAACAACCAGGGCCUUUACCGGUGCAACACUGUUAAAGACAAGAAACUAAUGGAAUAUGCAAUAACAGUAAUUAUAGCAGAAAGCCCAGCAGAUCUCACACUGGUCAGUGAUAACAGUUCAGACAUAUUAACUGGAGAAGAAGGGAUACCGUUAAAAGUAAGGUGCUACGUUGAAGACGGCUUACCAGGACCGACGUUAUAUUUAUCAUAUCAAGAACAAGUGGUAAAUGUCACGAAUACGUCGAUGCUUGAACACUUGUUUGUACCCUAAAAAGACGACCAUUUAAACUGUUUUACAUGUGCAGCUGACAACGAAUUCUUCAAUGUUCAGACUUCCAUAUUGUUAUUUGUUGAAGGCCAACCAGAAUGUUUGCAUGACAACAGUCAAAUUACAUCGUCCAUAAACGAGGAUAUAAGUAUUUCGUUUAAUGUCUACAACCCUAGUGGACAUCUGUAUUUGAAAUGCCUCGAUAAUAUGUACAACACUUUCAUCAACUGCUCUAUGUACAAUUUGCUUGUUCAAGAUAAUUACUUUAGCAUAUAAUCUUGUAACAGAUCUUUUAUGAUAGCAGGAUAUGUUAUCAGAGUAACAGUCAGUGCAAAACUUUUUCAAAAUAUUAAGGCUUUAGUUAUGAAUUUGGAAAACAAGUAUGGAAACAAGAAUUGUACUUUCAACUUCCAGAUAAAUGACAGCAGCACUAGUCCAAUCACUCUAUCAUCAAUAUUGGUAUACACCGUCAUAUGCGGAGUUUGUGCACUUCUUUUCUACUUGGCAAAAUGCAGUCUUAAACAUGUCAGAAAUAAAAUUGUCACUUGAUAGGACAUAGCGUUUAAUCAAAAUAUAUAAAAUGGGUAAUUGUACACAUGAUUCAUGACUAGCGAUUCCUUCCUGUACCAUCAUAUAUAUAUUAUAUAAAGUUUCCGUUCAUUUCUCUAAAACUGACAUCA
This is a long non-coding RNA of Mytilus californianus (California mussel), 1214 nucleotides long. RefSeq lists it as uncharacterized. The transcript has 5 exons. Lineage: Eukaryota; Metazoa; Mollusca; Bivalvia; Mytilida; Mytilidae. The record is from RefSeq and is a predicted model, not a curated record.